RNAcentral lists this ribosomal RNA (786 nucleotides) under uncultured archaeon. RNAcentral describes it as "bacterial SSU rRNA". It matches the Rfam family "Archaeal small subunit ribosomal RNA", at positions 52 to 844 of the family's 1478-position model. The record is from RNAcentral.
UGCGAGUCGAGAGUCUUAGGGACUCGGUAGACGGGUCAGUAACACGUAGAUAAUCUGCCCUUAGGUAGGGGAUAACCUCGAGAAAUUGAGAAUAAUACCCUAUAGGUCUAAGAUGCUGGAAUGUUUUUAGAUUGAAAGCUCCGGCGCCUAAGGAUGAGUCUGCGGCCUAUCAGGUUGUAGUGAGUGUAACGGACUCACUAGCCGACGACGGGUACGGGCCCUGAGAGGGGAAGCCCGGAGAUGGACUCUGAGACACGAGUCCAGGCCCCAAGGGGCGCAGCAGCUACGAAAACUUCACAAUGUGGGAAACCGCGAUGAGGGAAUUCCAAGUGCUGCAGUUUAACUGUAGCUGUUUACUUGCCUAAAAAGCAAGUAGAGUAAGGGCUGGGUAAGACUGGUGCCAGCCGCCGCGGUAAUACCAGCAGCCCUAGUGGUGAUCGUUUUUAUUGGGCCUAAAGCGUCCGUAGCCGGUUUGGUAAACCCUUGGGCAAAUCGAGCAGCUUAACUGUUCGAAUUCUGAGGAGACUGCCAGACUUGGGACCGGGAGAAGUUGGAAGUACUUUUGGGGUAGGGGUGAAAUCCUGUAAUCCCAAAAGGACUACCGGUGGCGAAGGCGUCCAACUAGAACGGGUUCGACGGUAAGGGACGAAGCCCUGGGUCACGAACCGGAUUAGAUACCCGGGUAGUCCAGGGUGUAAACGCUGCAGGCUUGGUGUUGGGGGUCCUACGUGGGCGUCCAGUGCCGAAGAGAAGUUGUUAAGCCUGCCGCCUGGGGAGUACGAUCGC